UUUAAAUGUUUGCUGGUAACCAAUUUCUCACUCAAAAUAAUGAUAUAGAAGACUACGCUUUACUGAUAAGAGUAUCGCCAGGCAAGCCUUAUACAAUAUAGAAAUAUGAAUUAAAAGGGAAAAGUCCAAAGAUUCGAGUGAAAUGGUAUUACCGAACUAUUUUAAGACGGUUGGCCCUCUAAACAUUACCAGGUUGAAUCCAAACCAAACAGAAAGUUCAUGUAUGGAACAUGACCAUUAUAUUAAGGUUUAUUGUUAUUGUAGAAAUUAGACAUCAUAUGUUAAAAAUAAUAAAUUAUUAUGUUUAUAUAUGUAUGUAUGUAUUUGCUCUACAAAUGUUCAUGGAAUAUAUGGUACUGAUAUU
Anthonomus grandis grandis is the source of this 364-nucleotide long non-coding RNA. RefSeq lists it as uncharacterized. The record is from RefSeq and is a predicted model, not a curated record. NCBI's taxonomy places the organism in Eukaryota, Metazoa, Arthropoda, Insecta, Coleoptera, Curculionidae. The transcript is spliced from 3 exons.